GGGAGUAGAGGAGGCUGUAGGUGAUGUCAUUCUGAACGGCAGAACAAGGGCACCGGUUCAGAAGAUAGGUGGCAGUGGUGAGCACCUCAGCCCAGUAUUGGGCAGCCAUGGAGGCGUGAAUGAGCAAUGUGCGAGUUACAUUAUUAAGGGUGCGUAGGACACACUCAGCUUUCCCAUUUUGGGGAGAAGUGUAGGGACAUAAGAGGCACAAGUGGAUACCCCAAGAAGUCAAAAAGGAUGUGAGAGUCUUA
RNAcentral lists this long non-coding RNA (251 nucleotides) under Setaria viridis. RNAcentral describes it as "long non-coding RNA (SVIR_LNC009430)". The record is from RNAcentral. Lineage: Eukaryota; Viridiplantae; Streptophyta; Magnoliopsida; Poales; Poaceae.